Molecule: long non-coding RNA, 407 nt
Organism: Pollicipes pollicipes
Lineage: Eukaryota; Metazoa; Arthropoda; Thecostraca; Pollicipedomorpha; Pollicipedidae
Exons: 3
Source: RefSeq, a predicted model, not a curated record
AAGAGUUCCGGGGGCUAUCAGGUGUUGAAAUUAUGCACAAGGGGCAAUCGUGGGGGAUGCAGCCCGUCCAUCGUCCGAGCGAACUGGAGGCGGACGCCAGCUUUUUGGACACUCUCACCUCACCGAUAGAGUUCCUCUGUCAGGCCCUUGGCAUCGAACCAGGCGCAAAAGAUGAGCUUGACUGCAUUUUAGAAGACACAUUCAGAAAGAACUGUCCACCGGGGAUCGAGCACCUAUGCUUCACUACCAACUUAGCCAGUAUUGAGCAGGCGGACGCUGUGUGUCCGACGCUGCUGCACCUGGCCGCGGCGCACGGGCUGGGGCAGCUCUGCAGCCGGCUGGUGGACGCUCCCGGCGGCGAGAACGCGCUGGCGCUGCCCAACAGGGACGACCAGCGGCCGGCCGAC